Molecule: ribosomal RNA, 753 nt
Filed under: Bacillus cereus
Lineage: Bacteria; Bacillati; Bacillota; Bacilli; Caryophanales; Bacillaceae
Description: bacterial SSU rRNA
Rfam family: Bacterial small subunit ribosomal RNA
Source: RNAcentral
CUAUCAUGCAGUCGAGCGAAUGGAUUAAGAGCUUGCUCUUAUGAAGUUAGCGGCGGACGGGUGAGUAACACGUGGGUAACCUGCCCAUAAGACUGGGAUAACUCCGGGAAACCGGGGCUAAUACCGGAUAACAUUUUGAACCGCAUGGUUCGAAAUUGAAAGGCGGCUUCGGCUGUCACUUAUGGAUGGACCCGCGUCGCAUUAGCUAGUUGGUGAGGUAACGGCUCACCAAGGCAACGAUGCGUAGCCGACCUGAGAGGGUGAUCGGCCACACUGGGACUGAGACACGGCCCAGACUCCUACGGGAGGCAGCAGUAGGGAAUCUUCCGCAAUGGACGAAAGUCUGACGGAGCAACGCCGCGUGAGUGAUGAAGGCUUUCGGGUCGUAAAACUCUGUUGUUAGGGAAGAACAAGUGCUAGUUGAAUAAGCUGGCACCUUGACGGUACCUAACCAGAAAGCCACGGCUAACUACGUGCCAGCAGCCGCGGUAAUACGUAGGUGGCAAGCGUUAUCCGGAAUUAUUGGGCGUAAAGCGCGCGCAGGUGGUUUCUUAAGUCUGAUGUGAAAGCCCACGGCUCAACCGUGGAGGGUCAUUGGAAACUGGGAGACUUGAGUGCAGAAGAGGAAAGUGGAAUUCCAUGUGUAGCGGUGAAAUGCGUAGAGAUAUGGAGGAACACCAGUGGCGAAGGCGACUUUCUGGUCUGUAACUGACACUGAGGCGCGAAAGCGUGGGGAGCAAACAGGAUUAGAUA